RNAcentral lists this unclassified non-coding RNA (400 nucleotides) under soil metagenome. RNAcentral describes it as "partial contains 5.8S ribosomal RNA, internal transcribed spacer 2, and large subunit ribosomal RNA". The stretch from base 1 to 122 matches the Rfam family "5.8S ribosomal RNA", at positions 35 to 154 of the family's 154-position model. The record is from RNAcentral.
GAUGAAGAACUUAGCGAAAUGCGAUACUUGGUGUGAAUUGCAGAAUCCCGUGAACCAUCGAGUCUUUGAACGCAAGUUGCGCCUCAAGCCAUUAGGUUGAGGGCACGUCUGCCUGGGCGUCACAUAUCGUUGCCUGAUGCCAGUUUCCUCGUGAUGGGUGACUGUGCAGGGCGAAUGAUGGCUUCCCGUGAGCAUUGUUGCCUCAUGGUUGGUUGAAAAUUGAGUCCUUGGUAGGGAGCGCCGUGAUAGAUGGUGGUUGAGUGACGAACGAGACCCAAUCAUGUGAGACCCCUACCGAAUUUGGCCUUCAUGACCCACAUGCGUCUUUGGAACGCUCAUGACGAGACCUCAGGUCAGGCGGGGCUACCCGCUGAGUUUAAGCAUAUCAAUAAGCGGAGGA